UGCGUUUGUGAUUCUGGUUCAAUCUGUACACGUUGGAACGAAACUUGUAAGUUUUUAAAAUAACGAAUCCCUUAGAAGAAUGAGUUUCUAACACCAAACCUCAGACAAUAAUUGAAUAGUUCAAGGAAAUAUAGUAAUUAUGCUCAAUAAACACAGUCUAAAUCUAAUAUAAUCCAUUAAACAUCAAUUUCCUGAUCGAUUCAAGGGGUUCAUAAUUGACAAGUUGAAACAAAACAACUCUUUUAAGUUUACCUCAACCAGAGUUGUGACACUCCUGAAUACUAAAAGAUAUAACCCCAAUCUGAAAGAUGUUAAAUGAUCCAUGACUUUUUGUUGAUUUGCAAUGGGGUGGGCAGUGGUUUGAAGGCUACUGUAACAAGAAAAGCCUAAUAAAAGUUAUCUUAUUUUUUGUUUUAUGUUACAGAAAUGAUCUUCUUUUAACAUGUCUAACGUGCCCCUUCAACGAAGAGCUCUUUAGGUUUGAACUGUGGACAGUGCACAACCCACCAACCUUGUGUUGCAAUUCAAAUUUUUAAACGGAUGAAGGGAUUUAUGAGGGUCAGACUUU
RNAcentral lists this small RNA (568 nucleotides) under Vigna angularis var. angularis. Its description in RNAcentral is "Non-protein coding transcript". Lineage: Eukaryota; Viridiplantae; Streptophyta; Magnoliopsida; Fabales; Fabaceae. The record is from RNAcentral.